This 478-nucleotide ribosomal RNA is filed under the name uncultured bacterium. RNAcentral's name for it is "partial 16S ribosomal RNA". It matches the Rfam family "Bacterial small subunit ribosomal RNA", at positions 28 to 523 of the family's 1533-position model. The record is from RNAcentral.
GACGAACGCUGGCGGCGUGCUUAACACAUGCAAGUCGAACGGUAAGGCCCUUCGGGGUACACGAGUGGCGAACGGGUGAGUAACACGUGGGUGAUCUGCCCUGCACUUCGGGAUAAGCCUGGGAAACUGGGUCUAAUACCGGAUAGGACUCCGGACUGCAUGGUCUGGGGUGGAAAGCUUUUGCGGUGUGGGAUGGGCCCGCGGCCUAUCAGCUUGGUGGUGGGGUGAUGGCCUACCAAGGCGACGACGGGUAGCCGGCCUGGGAGGGUGACCGGCCACACUGGGACUGAGAUACGGCCCAGACUCCUACGGGAGGCAGCAGUGGGGAAUAUUGCACAAUGGGCGCAAGCCUGAUGCAGCGACGCCGCGUGAGGGAUGACGGCCUUCGGGUUGUAAACCUCUUUCAGCAUCGACGAAGCGAAAGUGACGGUAGGUGCAGAAGAAGGACCGGCCAACUACGUGCCAGCCGCCGCGGUAA